GCUCCCGAUAGCCAAGUGGGCAACGCGUUCGACUUCUAUGAAAGCGGUCCCGGGUUCGAAUCCCGGUGGGAGCC
This 74-nucleotide transfer RNA is filed under the name Microcystis aeruginosa NIES-98. RNAcentral's name for it is "tRNA-Glu". Lineage: Bacteria; Bacillati; Cyanobacteriota; Cyanophyceae; Chroococcales; Microcystaceae. The record is from RNAcentral.